UGAGGACACAAUUUUCGGACAGAGGAAGUAUCUUGGCUGUAGCCGCUUGACCUUGGACCAAACUUCAUUUGAGGUGUCAUUCCGAACAACGUACAGGACAAGGAAUACAAGACUAAAGAACUACAGACUCUUCACAACCUGCUCAAACUCUUGGUACAGGACCUCACCACACGGGUCAAGAAGGUUUCCGUCUCAUUUCUACUCUGAAGCUCACCUUCUCCUGCUCAAACUGCUGAUAAAUGUUUCUGCUGCUCUAAAGUCUGGUCUCCAGAACUUCCUAAAAACUCUCAAAGUCUCUUCUGCUGCAGGUUGCUUUGUAGAACUGUUCCAGAAAACCUCACUAAACCACAUGGAGGGGCCUCAAGAUAGUCGUCCAAAUGAAACCGUACAAAAAUCAAACUAACACAACCCAAACGCUAAAGUCUCCUGCAGCCUACCAGAGAACCUCUGAGAACAGAGAAUCAGGACAGGAACUCUUACCUUCUGGACAACCAACACUGGUUCUCAAACAAGAAUACAGAAUGUGUCUGACCAAAAACCUCUGAAGACUCACUACAGCCAAGAUAAAGACACAACUCAGCUGCACCAAAUCCACUAAUCACUGCACACAUUAGCACCAUGUGCUAACUGUGGCUAAAGAACCACAUUUACCAAGACAACUAUCCAGUACAAAGCCCUGAAACACACCAAGAAACACAUUAAAGACGAUUUUACUGCUGGAAGCUGCAAGCCAACGCCUAAAAAACAAACUGAAGCAACGGAGCCAAACCCGGUUCACUGGUGAAGAGAAACAGAGGAAAUGUUUGUCUGCAGCUAAAUAAAGCAGGAAGACACUGAGCUGCUCAGGUGUUCCUGAUAACACCAAGCUGCUCAGGUGUUCCUAAUAACACCAAGCAGCCACCUGGACAGCCAAUAGGAACACAGCUUCCUGGAAGUCCAGAGGGCUGGCUUAGUGAAGGAAAUUUAGUUUAAAGUUGAAGCAGAAAGUUAACAAAGAAAGUUGAAAACCACCUUCUGAUACCUGAAAUCUCUGAGUUUUCACACAAAGAACACCUGAACAUGUCAAACUGGUUUCAUAGUAGAACCAUCAUUGUAAAAACGUCAUAGUAUGGUGUAUUGCUCAAAAACAUUAGGACCCGGCUGUCAGGGGACAAACAUGUAAGAAACAUGAGAACAGAGAGAACCCAACCAGUAGGUCACAGUUUAUCAUCCCCCAGUCAUCUCCUGAAGUCCAUAUGGUGAGAGACAUCAGUAUCUGGUUGUUCAUUUACCAGAGGAUGCUUAUAAUCAUGCUGAUGUGGUCUGCACUCUACAGUAUUUUAGUGACUUAAUAAAUGCCUAAGUUGUUUUUUUUUUUAAUGUUUUUUAGUUUUUAAUAAACAUCUAACAGCAUAUAUGUAAUCAAUAAAUGGCCUUUGCCUAUCUUAAGAAAAAUUCACUCAGAACUCUGAUAUGUUAACAGUACUAAAUAAAUCAAUAAAUACAUGCAUACACACAAAAAUAAGUUAAUACAUUAACUGUGUUAAGAUUUUUUUAAAAAGUUGUUUAUGUUUUUGCAGAAUCCAGUAUUGCACACUGGUUGAUCAUUACAUUUUAUUAGUUUGAUUUCACUGUUUAAAAUGAUGCCACCUCUUUUCAGACAGAACCUGUGAUAAUAAAACAAUACAAAAUUUUUAGUUCCGUGUUAAUAAAGCACUUAAAGCUUUAAGUAUGGCUAAAUGCUUUUUUCAAAAUUAAAUAUAUCACUCCUUAGGUGGUAGUGGCCCAAAGUUCAGUAAAGUUGGAAAGAUAUUCACAAAUUCGGACUUCCAGCAUCAAUAACUCAUUAGAUAUAGGUUGUCAAAACAUAAACGGUGCCUCUUUCCCAUUGUUGCAAGGCAGACAAUGUGCUACAAGCCCAGUUUUAUCAAAAGUAGCUGUCUUUCAAGCUACAGGAAUAACAUUAGUGUCUAUGGAGUGAACAGGGUCCGUCUGCAAUUUGCAAAACUGCUGCAACAGUAAAGAGAGACAAAUAUUCAAUAACUUCACUCUUAUACAUUGUAGUGUCACUAAAAUCACUGCAGCCUUCAACUGGCUCCUGUUGACAAAGUGUUUUAACAGAAAUGUAAAUGCUGUAAUUUGAUUCUUUUAAUGAACCAUGUAACUUGAAUGGAUGUGAUGCUGGUGUGACCACAGUGCACACGUCUGAUGUUGCUCACAGUGGUCCAAGGGACGCUCAGGGAGUUUGUGUGUUUGCUCAGACUCAUGAAAAAUUACAGGGAACAUUGUUUGGGACUCAAGCAGUUCCUUCUUUUACUCACUAUCUCCCUAGCCUUAGAAAAAAAAAACCUGUUCACAUGGCACAGAUGAGGCUGAGGUACACAGGAAAUGUUUGGCUCCAUUGUACAAGUUUGGGUAAACGGUUUUGUGGGUUGCCCAGUAAGCCAGUGGGUCUGCCGUUCUUUCUACAAUUGCAUUCGCUGUGGCGCUUUGCAUUUACCAGGCUCUACUUGCGUCUUCGUCUAAUAGGCUCCACAGUUGAACUGAAAAAUAUUGAAGAUCAUCAUCAUCAUCAUCACCAGAAAUGUCAGUCAUUCCCUAUUCAGAAGAGAAAAAGAAUACCUGUGGAAGGUGCUGCUGGUGGUGGGGGACGAGGCUGCGGUGGUGCUUGUGACGUAGAUAACUGCUGCUUGGUAUUCUUUAUGUUAAUUGUUGUGCAUUCUGUUAUUAAACGUUCUUUCACACUG
This is a long non-coding RNA of Amphiprion ocellaris (clown anemonefish), 2726 nucleotides long. RefSeq lists it as uncharacterized. NCBI's taxonomy places the organism in Eukaryota, Metazoa, Chordata, Actinopteri, Pomacentridae. The record is from RefSeq and is a predicted model, not a curated record. The transcript is spliced from 2 exons.